ACAAAAAUCACGCGUUAUACAUAUUCAGAGUAAGGUUCCACCACAUUUACUUUUUUUAAGUGAGCUUUGUAACUUGUAUUAAAGGUCAGCAUCACUCACCUUUUGUCAGAGUCCAAGUCUAAUCUUCCCAGUGAGUUAGCUGACCUUAAAAAUGAAUUGUACAGCUGGAAAACCUGCAUAGAGGAGGGAGGAAAAAUAGAAUCACCAGCAAAAAAUCCCUACUGUUCCAAUUAAUCAAAGCACGUUCAUUCAAAAACAGCUUAACAUCUGUGAAAUGCUUACCUUGCAAAAGCAGAGUUCCUUACUCCACAGUUCCAAGUGCUGUAUUGUCAGCUAAUAAAACCCCACCUCCUGCUUCAUUGGAGGAGCAUCUUCCUCUCUUUGGCCAACGUACAAAACCUUUUCAGUUUGCUUUUAUUACUGUAGUAGAUCAGCCUGCAGUUUGCAUAUUAUAGACAUGCAGAAAAUAAGUGUGCACCAUAGAAGUCCUGUUUUCCAGAGCUGGAUGGUAAUUGAACGUACACAAAAUGCCAGGAUUGCUGAUACCAACUUCCAUUUGCUGUAUUUCCCAGCCUGCUUAAUAUAACACUUUGCAGAACUGGAGAACCUUGUAGAAAGAUGGGUUAGCCGUCAUCUUGUAUGUAGGCAUAUUUAAGCUCUAUAGUGUCAACUGCCCUACCUAGUUGCAUUUGUUAGUAGGAGACAUUUAGACAUCUGUCAAAACAGCUGUAGAGAUGCUGGUUGAAAUGUGGAGGAUUUUAUUUGAUGGACUGUUGUUGAUAGCACAUAAUCAGAAGAAAAAUGCAUUGGAGUUCUGAUACUUUUAAAGUAUCACACUUAGAAAAUUAUGGGAUGUGCUUUUCCAACCUGCAGUGAAAUGAGCAUAAGCACGGCAUUUGUAGUUACAGUUCAUUCACGUAGAAGAAUGGUGAGUUGAUCUCGGCUGGUCCAGGUGCUCACCAUGCCUCCCUCUCCUCAGCAAGAUGGAAAGUUAGAAAAAAGCUUGUGGGUAGGGAUAGGGCCAGGGAGAUCACUCAACCAGUUACCAUCAAGGUGAAAACUGGCUCAAGUUGGGGAAGGCUUACUGUUUAUUGCCAAUUAAUAAAUCAACUAGAGCAGCGAGAGCUGAAAGCAUACUAAAACCACCUUCCCCUCAGCCCUUUUCUUCCCAGGGUCAACUUCAAACCUCCUCCGCCAAGCAGCGCAGGAGAAUGGGGGCUGUGGUCAGUUCAUAUCACCUCAUCUCUGCUGCUCUUCCAUGGUCACACAUUGCUCCUGCUCCAGCUGGGGUCCCUCCCAUGGGAUGCUGUCCUUCCCACUCUGAUCCUGUGUAGUCUUCCUACAGGCUGCAGUUCUACAGGCACUGCUCCAAUGCAGCUCUGUAUCACAAGGCCCACCCUUCAGCAGCUCCCCCAGCCCUGCUGCUCCACUGCAGGCUGCUCUCCAUGGGCUGCAGCUCUGGCCCUGCUCCAGUGUGCACUCUCCCCAGGGUGCAGCUUCUUUCAGAGCACAUCCAGUUGCUCCAGUGUGGGGUUUGUAGUUACCCAGUGAAUUUUAACAUUUUAAAAGACAAAUCAUAAUACUUUUUAGUUAGACUGACCACUCAAUGCUUUUAUAAAGUUUAUUUCUUUGCUGUACAGAGGCAGAAAUGUAAACCAUCUCAAUAAACCUACAUCAGUAACUACUCGGACAUGGUACAGAUAUACAAAAAGCCAUUAUUUAACUUCAGUGUUGAUACCAUAUUUAAUGCAGAACUGGAUGCAAAUAAUGCAAACAGUAUCUACACAGUGGAAGGCAUAAUUCUCAUACUAUUUACAUCUUGUUCCUCAUAACAAAGGCUUCUGAUACAUCAGUUCUUUCUUCAUCUGUAUUUAAUAAUCCUUCUCCAUAGUAGUGCAGCCUCAGAACUGAAAAGUGCAUUUUCUUUAUUAUAUACAUUUUCAGAAGGUUUACAAAUAGUUCCAGAAACAGUUCUCAAACCUUCAUUUUUCAAAUCCAUUUACUGAAUGCGUUUUCCAUCAAUUAAAAUUAUUUCAUAAACUAAAACCACCAUUUUCCCAAAGCUCUGUAGAUCACAUGCAAUUAUAAAAUCAAAGCUCCUAAUAUCAAAUCUAGGAGCCACUGUCUUCUGACUUGGGAAUAUUAAACGUUCCUGUGCAAGCACUCAAUCCGUUGCUGUUUUAAAUACAAAAUACUCUGGAGCAUUUCAGGUUGGCAAGUUUACAGUUCCAAACAGCUUUGGAAGAGCUCUACAACACAGAUAUUUACAUUUGGUGUUAGAUUCAGUUGUAGUUCCUCUCACUCUGCAAGUGAAGUGAAAGAAGAAUCCAUUUACUGUCAUCGUAGGAAACUACAGUCAUUUCACAAGCAAAACAGUUAAAAAACAAGACAAGAUUAAAUAGUCAGCUCUUCCUCUCUUCUAUAAAGUAAAAUUGCUAAAAAUAAAGUACCUUUCAUCUUCUAAGCUACUGCAAUUCCCGCCACAUUUAUUUUUAAACCACAACGACCACAACAUCCUGCAGCACUGGAGAUCUUGACAGACUGAAUCCCAGCCAAUCUUGUUUUAGGAGAUUAAAAUACUGCGUUUCAUCUCCUGUCUGCUCUCCUGCAGAUAGGGCAGCAAUGAGUAACAGCAGCAUAGCAUCUUGUUUGAAACACAUCUUAACUCCCAUGGCAACUAGUUUUUCAGCCAAGCCGCUGGACUGUAGACUAAGAACUCGCACACAGUGCUCCAUCAGCAGAGCACAGAACGGUCAGCUCUGACAGAAAGCCAGUAGUGAGCAGAGGAAGGAAGAGGGUCAGAGAACAAGAGCAGCUUGCUACGUCUGCAUGUGCCUAGCCCUUUGCAUUCCUGUUGCCAUGAAGGAAUGCAACAGCAUAAAGAUAACUUUCAGAUAUUUCCUAUACUCCUGCACAUCUUUGCACACUUAAACUAUGUCCUGGGAUGAAAACUUACACAGCUAUGUUGAAGUUGAAAACUGUAAGACAAUCUUUAAAAAAAAAAAUUACACGAGGAUAAAAAUGUAAAUGGGAGAUGUUACCUUCAUCAGGAGGAACUGAUGGCUCAGUUUCAGAAGUGACAGCUUCCUUAUCUUCAGAAUUUUUGUCUGCUGGCUUAUCUUGUUCCACCUCACACAGAUACACGUCAAUGGGUCCUUUUGUGCUCUUUACAUGUACUUUGAUGCAAUCCUGCAAAAUAGUGACUUGCAUAUUAAACAGAAGAGAAACCUUACAUGUUGGUUAUGUAUUUCAGCACAUAUUUUAAUCCCAGCAGGCUAAGAACAGAACAAAUAGAAGAGUGACAUAACUAUUUAAGGUUACGUUACUAGUUCUAAGUAAGUUAUGACUCGAUUUUCAGGCUAGUUAUUAAGUAUCACUAAGCUAACAAGGUUUCACUUCUGAUGGGCAACAUACCUAAUGAAGCCAUUUAGUCUCUUUACUGACCUGAUAAAUGGCCAAGAUUUAUCAUAUGUUUAGUAAGAAGAACAAAAGUAAGAACUUGGCAGUCAAUGCCAUGGAUCAGAAAACAAAUGAGACCACAUCAGGGUUUUAUAAUAAUAUGGCAAAACAAACUCUAGUAGUAUUUUCUUUUAGCAGACAUCACACUGCAAGGCACAGACUAAGUCAAAUUCAAUGGGAAAUGGUUAGAACAACAUUCUCCCUAAAGGAAGGCCUUUCAAACCCUGCUGCUUUUUUGCUUCAGGAAGCCUAUGGAAUCUUCUCUUUCUCACCAGCACAAAAUGAGAUCCAGCUUCUUUUGCCUGUGAAAUCACUAGAUAUAUGCAUAGUGGAUUUAAGUCUUCUGUUCUUAUUGAUUUGUAUCUUCUUUUCCUAGGAUGACCUGAACAGGAAUAGGUAUGCUGUACCAAGAGGAAAGGACAGGCCACAUCCCCUGCCUCCAUGGAGAAUACAUCUGGACUACCAGAACUACUUCUUUUGUUGAUCACAUUAAAUUCCAAGUUUCCAAGCCAACUUACACCCACUGGAUGUGAUUCUUUGAUCUUUUCUGAAUUAAGUCGAUCCCAUCCAACACACUGGUGAUGUCAUAUACUCUUCGUUUUUGUACUCCAAGAGCUGUUGCUACGUCGUUUAAAUCAAGGACACCAUCUGGAGCUCUUUUAACAAGAUCCAUGAAUUUUCGAGUCAAAUAAACCAAGGAUGCAUCAAAUCGAGGCCUUUUGACCUUCAGAGUUUCUGUAAUGUUUUUGACACAAUAUUUAGGCAUGUGUCACCACUGUAAGAAGAAAAACAAUAAAUACUUCAAGGAUAACACAUGGAAUGCAGCCACUUACUUUUUACAACUGGUACGUCAUCAUCCAAAUUCAAGUCAAGCAUUGGUGUCUGAGGA
This is a long non-coding RNA of Gallus gallus (chicken), 4348 nucleotides long. RefSeq lists it as uncharacterized. The record is from RefSeq and is a predicted model, not a curated record. Lineage: Eukaryota; Metazoa; Chordata; Aves; Galliformes; Phasianidae. The transcript is spliced from 3 exons.